CCUACGGGACGCAGCAGUGAGGGAUAUUGGUCAAUGGGGGAAACCCUGAACCAGCAACGCCGCGUGAGGGAAGACGGUUUUCGGAUUGUAAACCUCUGUCCUCUGUGAAGAUGAUGACGGUAGCAGAGGAGGAAGCUCCGGCUAACUACGUGCCAGCAGCCGCGGUAAUACGUAGGGAGCAAGCGUUGUCCGGAUUUACUGGGUGUAAAGGGAGCGUAGGCGGCGAUGCAAGUCAGAAGUGAAAGCCCGGGGCUCAACUCCGGGACUGCUUUUGAAACUGUGUUGCUAGAUUGCAGGAGAGGUAA
Molecule: ribosomal RNA, 305 nt
Filed under: uncultured bacterium
Lineage: Bacteria
Description: bacterial SSU rRNA
Rfam family: Bacterial small subunit ribosomal RNA
Source: RNAcentral